GGCGUGACGUUCUCGGCAUAUUGGGCGUAAGGGCUCGCACGCGGUUUCUUAAGUCUGAUGUGAAAGCCCCCGGCUCCACCGGGGAGGGUCAUUGGAAACUGGGAAACUUGAGUGCAGAAGAGGAGAAAGGAAUUCCACGUGUAGCGGUGAAAUGCGUAGAGAUGUGGAGGAACACCAGUGGCGAAGGCGACUCUCUGGUCUGUAACUGACGCUGAGGAGCGAAAGCGUGGGGAGCGAACAGGAUUAGAUACCCUGGUAGUCCACGCCGUAAACGAUGAGUGCUAAGUGUUAGGGGGUUUCCGCCCCUUAGUGCUGCAGCUAACGCAUUAAGCACUCCGCCUGGGGAGUACGGUCGCAAGACUGAAACUCAAAGGAAUUGACGGGGGCCCGCACAAGCGGUGGAGCAUGUGGUUUAAUUCGAAGCAACGCGAAGAACCUUACCAGGUCUUGACAUCCUCUGACAACCCUAGAGAUAGGGCUUUCCCUUCGGGGACAGAGUGACAGGUGGUGCAUGGUUGUCGUCAGCUCGUGUCGUGAGAUGUUGGGUUAAGUCCCGCAACGAGCGCAACCCUUGAUCUUAGUUGCCAGCAUUCAGUUGGGCACUCUAAGGUGACUGCCGGUGACAAACCGGAGGAAGGUGGGGAUGACGUCAAAUCAUCAUGCCCCUUAUGACCUGGGCUACACACGUGCUACAAUGGACAGAACAAAGGGCUGCGAGACCGCAAGGUUUAGCCAAUCCCACAAAUCUGUUCUCAGUUCGGAUCGCAGUCUGCAACUCGACUGCGUGAAGCUGGAAUCGCUAGUAAUCGCGGAUCAGCAUGCCCGGUGAAAUACCGUUUCCCGGGGCCUUGUACACACCGGCCCGUCACACCACGAAGAGUUUGCAACACCCGAAGGUCGGUGAGGUAACCUUUAUGGAGCCAGCCGCCGAAGGUGGGGCAGAUGAUUGGGGUGAGCUAGAAGGGAAGCCCCCGACAGAAAAAAGGGAGGCUUGGGCCCC
RNAcentral lists this ribosomal RNA (1000 nucleotides) under Bacillus sp. NA14. Its description in RNAcentral is "bacterial SSU rRNA". It matches the Rfam family "Bacterial small subunit ribosomal RNA", at positions 533 to 1521 of the family's 1533-position model. Lineage: Bacteria; Bacillati; Bacillota; Bacilli; Caryophanales; Bacillaceae. The record is from RNAcentral.